AUUAAUUUAUGUAUCAUAAAAUUAAAUAAACACUAUAACACACUAUAAAGAUAUGCUCAAACGUACUAUAAUUUUAAAAACAAUUUUAAAAGAAGUAUAAAAAAGACAUAACUGAAGCAAUGUCGGCCUGACAAUAAUGGUUGAUGAUGCUUUUCUCUGUUUUUGGUGUAUUUUACCAACCUUUUGAUUUAGAUGAUUCCCCAAUAUCUUUGUUUGAAUCCUUCCG
Molecule: unclassified non-coding RNA, 226 nt
Filed under: Hevea brasiliensis (rubber tree)
Lineage: Eukaryota; Viridiplantae; Streptophyta; Magnoliopsida; Malpighiales; Euphorbiaceae
Source: RNAcentral